Long non-coding RNA from Solea senegalensis (Senegalese sole), 1159 nucleotides. RefSeq lists it as uncharacterized. Lineage: Eukaryota; Metazoa; Chordata; Actinopteri; Pleuronectiformes; Soleidae. The transcript has 3 exons. The record is from RefSeq and is a predicted model, not a curated record.
CACCCGGCAUGAUUUGAGUGUAACACAGGAAGUCCGUCUGUCCAGCCGUUGUUUUCGGCGUAAUAUCAACUUUUGACAGAGAAAAAUCAGCGCUGCUGUAGAAACUCUGCCAGUGAUUUUGCGUCAGGGAAGUCAUUGACGUGAAUGAAGGAGCCAUUGGGAAUAAACUGCUCAUAGUUUUCUCUUGGUGGACCCAUAACUACAGGGACCGACCCUGCAACGAGGGGCCCGUUUACCUUUUCUACAAAGUAGUCCUUGUGGAGCGAGUUCUCAAAUGAGAGUGCUCGCAGCAUUGUUACUGACAAUCCAACACAACAGAUUGUUUUUCUUGGGCAGAACAAAGAUGUCCUUCAUCUCUUCUUUCUUGACAGUCACCUCAUUCCUCACCACAAUGCCAGCGUCUCGUCUGUAGCUCAGUGUUAAGUUGAACAGAUUUUCCAAACCUGGUAUCUUCAGUGUGUUUGUCGGCGAUUCCACGUGGAACCAAAUCCAUUUCUGAAAAGAUGGACGUGGGAGCUGAGGCAUGUUUGUUAAAUCCCAUGCAACAUUUUUAUGGAAGAUAAUGACUCCCUCUGCUUUGCUGUACAUGGAUCUAUCAUCAGUCAGUAUGCAGCUACUAAUGUUGAAGUAGGUUGAGCAGAUUUUGAAAUCAAACCUCACAUCAAGUGGCCAGAACCACAGCAGGACGAUGGGCUUUUCAGUGCCGUCAGAGUUUUUUUCAUCAGCUACUGUAGACGUAGAUGGAUACAAAGGAGGUGAUGGCGCAAAAAAAACCAAGAAUGCAAUAACAGAGCAGGCAAGGCAAGCAAUUGUCAUUGCCAUAUACAGAGUUUUUCUGAAGGCUGCCAUCUGUGGAGACAAAACAGAAAACAUUGUGAACUUUUUGACUGCAACAUCAUGCCUUGAUGACAUUAUGCCGCUUUUCCACUACAUGGUCCCAGCACGACUCGCCUUGGCACAGCAUGUUUGUUUUUUUUUUGCUUUUUUAUUAGCAACACCUGGUACCUGGUCUACUGAGUGCCGUCACUGGAAGAAACAUGAGGAAGACGUCCAACACAAGAAUCAAACCAAACCCGUUGAUCAAUUGAAAAGAAUCAUGAUUAAUCACGUUAAUCUCCAACAUUUAGCAUGGAAAUGUCUAAAAUCUCAAUAUUUAUCC